Molecule: unclassified non-coding RNA, 855 nt
Filed under: uncultured Sordariales
Lineage: Eukaryota; Fungi; Ascomycota; Sordariomycetes; Sordariales
Description: sequence contains 18S rRNA gene, ITS1, 5.8S rRNA gene, ITS2, 28S rRNA gene
Rfam family: Eukaryotic large subunit ribosomal RNA (bases 444-855)
Source: RNAcentral
GGAGGGAUCAUUAGAGAGUUUCAGAACUCCCAACCAUUGUGAACGAACCGCUAUGCCCAGGCUUAGGUACCCCCUAAGCUGGCGGCAUGCAAACUCUUGCUUUAGUAGAUAUCUGAGUAGCUUAUACAAUAAGUCAAAACUUUCAACAACGGAUCUCUUGGCUCUGGCAUCGAUGAAGAACGCAGCGAAAUGCGAUAAGUAAUGUGAAUUGCAGAAUUCAGUGAAUCAUCGAAUCUUUGAACGCACAUUGCGCCCGCCAGUAUUCUGGCGGGCAUGCCUGUUCGAGCGUCAUUACAACCAUCAAGCCCCAGGCUUGCGUUGGGGACCUGCGGCCACCGCAGCCCCCUAAAAGCAGUGGCGGUCUCGCUGUCAUACCGAGCGCAGUAGCAACCCUCGCUCCGGGCGUGGCAGUGGGCUUCCGGCCGUGAAACCCUCACUAAGGUUGACCUCGGAUCAGGUAGGAAUACCCGCUGAACUUAAGCAUAUCAAUAAGCGGAGGAAAAGAAACCAACAGGGAUUGCCCUAGUAACGGCGAGUGAAGCGGCAACAGCUCAAAUUUGAAAUCUGGCUUCGGCCCGAGUUGUAAUUUGCAGAGGAAGCUUCUGGCGAAGCGCUAUCCGAGUCCAUUGGAACAUGGCGCCAUAGAGGGUGAUAGCCCCGUAUGGAUAGAUGCGUAGCCUGUGUGAAGCCCCUUCGACGAGUCGAGUAGUUUGGGAAUGCUGCUCAAAAUGGGAGGUAAAUUCCUUCUAAAGCUAAAUAUUGGCCAGAGACCGAUAGCGCACAAGUAGAGUGAUCGAAAGAUGAAAAGCACUUUGAAAAGAGGGUUAAACAGCACGUGAAAUUGUUGAAAGGGAA